UACAGAGGUCUCAAGCGUUGUUCGGAUUCAUUGGGCGUAAAGGGUGCGUAGGCGGCGCGGUAAGUCGGGUGUGAAAUCUCGGGGCUUAACUCCGAAACUGCAUUCGAUACUGCCGUGCUUGAGGACUGGAGAGGAGACUGGAAUUUACGGUGUAGCGGUGAAAUGCGUAGAUAUCAAGUGGAACACCAGUGGCGAAGGCGAAUCCCUGGAAAAUACCUGACACUGAGGCACGAAAGCUAGGGGAGCAAACAGG
RNAcentral lists this ribosomal RNA (253 nucleotides) under uncultured bacterium. Its description in RNAcentral is "partial 16S ribosomal RNA". It matches the Rfam family "Bacterial small subunit ribosomal RNA", at positions 524 to 776 of the family's 1533-position model. The record is from RNAcentral.